GAUGAAGAACGUAGCGAAAUGCGAUAAGUAGUGUGAAUUGCAGAAUUCAGUGAAUCAUCGAAUCUUUGAACGCACAUUGCGCCCUUUGGUAUUCCUUAGGGCAUGCCUGUUCGAGCGUCAUUUAAACCUUCAAGCUAAGCUUGGUGUUGGGUGACUGUCCGCUUCACGGCGGACUCGCCUCAAAAUUAUUGGCGGCCGGUACAUUGGCUUCGAGCGCAGCAGAAACGCGAACUCGGGCCCGUCGUAUUGGCUCCCAGAAGCUAUCUUCACAAUUUUGACCUCGGAUCAGGUAGGGAUACCCGCUGAACUUAAGCAUAUAAUAAGCGGAGGA
RNAcentral lists this unclassified non-coding RNA (331 nucleotides) under soil metagenome. RNAcentral describes it as "partial contains 5.8S ribosomal RNA, internal transcribed spacer 2, and large subunit ribosomal RNA". The stretch from base 1 to 120 matches the Rfam family "5.8S ribosomal RNA", at positions 35 to 154 of the family's 154-position model. The record is from RNAcentral.